AUGAACGCUGGCGGCGUGCCUAAUACAUGCAAGUCGAGCGAACAGACGAGGAGCUUGCUCCUCUGACGUUAGCGGCGGACGGGUGAGUAACACGUGGAUAACCUACCUAUAAGACUGGGAUAACUUCGGGAAACCGGAGCUAAUACCGGAUAAUAUAUUGAACCGCAUGGUUCAAUAGUGAAAGACGGUUUUGCUGUCACUUAUAGAUGGAUCCGCGCCGCAUUAGCUAGUUGGUAAGGUAACGGCUUACCAAGGCAACGAUGCGUAGCCGACCUGAGAGGGUGAUCGGCCACACUGGAACUGAGACACGGUCCAGACUCCUACGGGAGGCAGCAGUAGGGAAUCUUCCGCAAUGGGCGAAAGCCUGACGGAGCAACGCCGCGUGAGUGAUGAAGGUCUUCGGAUCGUAAAACUCUGUUAUAAGGGAAGAACAAAUGUGUAAGUAACUAUGCACGUCUGGACGGUACCUAAUCAGAAAGCCACGGCUAACUACGUG
This 496-nucleotide ribosomal RNA is filed under the name uncultured bacterium. Its description in RNAcentral is "partial 16S ribosomal RNA". It matches the Rfam family "Bacterial small subunit ribosomal RNA", at positions 29 to 507 of the family's 1533-position model. The record is from RNAcentral.